This 441-nucleotide ribosomal RNA is filed under the name uncultured rumen bacterium. Its description in RNAcentral is "bacterial SSU rRNA". It matches the Rfam family "Bacterial small subunit ribosomal RNA", at positions 1064 to 1504 of the family's 1533-position model. The record is from RNAcentral.
GUCGUGAGAUGUUGGGUUAAGUCCCGCAACGAGCGCAACCCUUACUUUCAGUUACUAACACGUAAUGGUGAGGACUCUGAAGGGACUGCCGGGGACAACUCGGAGGAAGGUGGGGACGACGUCAAAUCAUCAUGCCCCUUAUGACCUGGGCUACACACGUGCUACAAUGGCCACCACAGAGAGGAGCGAACCUGCAAGGGGGAGCGGAUCUCAAAAAAGUGGUCCCAGUCCGGAUUGUGGGCUGCAACCCGCCCACAUGAAGUCGGAGUUGCUAGUAAUCGCGGAUCAGCAUGCCGCGGUGAAUACGUUCCCGGGCCUUGUACACACCGCCCGUCACACCAUGGGAGUUGGGAGUGCCCAAAGUCGGUGAGGUAACCGCAAGGAGCCAGCCGCCUAAGGCAAGACCAAUGACUGGGGUGAAGUCGUAACAAGGUAGCCGUA